UGGCUCCUCCUGGUGCUUACUAAAAUU
Molecule: non-coding RNA, 27 nt
Filed under: Mus musculus (house mouse)
Lineage: Eukaryota; Metazoa; Chordata; Mammalia; Rodentia; Muridae
Source: RNAcentral